UCGAACGAGUAGUUUAAACCUAUCGAUUUUGGAUAUCAUUUAUCUACUUUGAAACCAUUGCUAUUAUUAUAACUAGGAUAUAAAAAUACGAUUUGUUUUUCAAUCGAAAUUAAGCUAGGAGUCUCAUUAACCAACCACUAGUUUGAAUUGAACAAGCAAAAAUAUCAUUCUUUUAGAUCCGAACUAAGCCUUCGUAAUUCGGAAUUUUUUUCGAAUUUAGGGUUUAUUAAAUAUCAUUCUUUUAGAUCCGAACUAAGCCUUUCGUAAUUCGGAAUUCUCCCCAAGAGCAAGGUGGGAAGUUCUUGG
RNAcentral lists this long non-coding RNA (306 nucleotides) under Nicotiana benthamiana. RNAcentral describes it as "long non-coding RNA (NBEN_LNC038028)". The record is from RNAcentral. Lineage: Eukaryota; Viridiplantae; Streptophyta; Magnoliopsida; Solanales; Solanaceae.